GAUGAACGCUGGCGGCGUGCCUAAUACAUGCAAGUCGAGCGAACAGACGAGGAGCUUGCUCCUCUGACGUCAGCGGCGGACGGGUGAGUAACACGUGGAUAACCUACCUAUAAGACUGGGAUAACUUCGGGAAACCGGAGCUAAUACCGGAUAAUAUAUUGAACCGCAUGGUUCAAUAGUGAAAGACGGUUUUGCUGUCACUUAUAGAUGGAUCCGCGCCGCAUUAGCUAGUUGGUAAGGUAACGGCUUACUAAGGCAACGAUGCGUAGCCGACCUGAGAGGGUGAUCGGCCACACUGGAACUGAGACACGGUCCAGACUCCUACGGGAGGCAGCAGUAGGGAAUCUUCCGCAAAGGGCGAAAGCCUGACGGAGCAACGCCGCGUGAGUGAUGAAGGUCUUCGGAUCGUAAAACUCUGUUAUUAGGGAAGAACAAAUGUGUAAGUAACUAUGCACGUCUUGACGGUACCUAAUCAGAAAGCCACGGCUAACUACGUG
RNAcentral lists this ribosomal RNA (497 nucleotides) under uncultured bacterium. RNAcentral describes it as "partial 16S ribosomal RNA". It matches the Rfam family "Bacterial small subunit ribosomal RNA", at positions 28 to 507 of the family's 1533-position model. The record is from RNAcentral.